GAUGAACGCUAGCUACAGGCUUAACACAUGCAAGUCGAGGGGAAACGACAUCGAAAGCUUGCUUUUGAUGGGCGUCGACCGGCGCACGGGUGAGUAACGCGUAUCCAACCUGCCCAUCACUUGGGAAUAACCUUGCGAAAGUAAGACUAAUACCCAAUGAUAUCCCACGAAGGCAUCGGAAUGGGAUUAAAGAUUUAUCGGUGAUGGAUGGGGAUGCGUCUGAUUAGCUUGUUGGCGGGGUAACGGCCCACCAAGGCAACGAUCAGUAGGGGUUCUGAGAGGAAGGUCCCCCACAUUGGAACUGAGACACGGUCCAAACUCCUACGGGAGGCAGCAGUGAGGAAUAUUGAUCAAUGGGCGAGGGCCUGAACCAGCCAAGUAGCGUGCAGGAAGACGGCCCUAUGGGUUGUAAACUGCUUUUAUAAGGGAAUAAAGUGGGUCACGUGUGACUUUUUGCAUGUACCUUAUGAAUAAGGACCGGCUAAUUCCGUG
This 492-nucleotide ribosomal RNA is filed under the name uncultured bacterium. RNAcentral's name for it is "partial 16S ribosomal RNA". It matches the Rfam family "Bacterial small subunit ribosomal RNA", at positions 28 to 507 of the family's 1533-position model. The record is from RNAcentral.